UGAACUCUAAUAAAUGAAGAAAUAAAAAAGUUGUACUCGGGUGUGAAAGAACAACAACAGGGAGAAAAUUGAAGAUAAAAAAAGGAAAAUAACCUCAUAUUUACACGUUACAAGUCACAAGUGGGGUUGUAUCUCAAUUAGAUCUGAAUGAAAAAUGACCAAAAUCACUUCAUUCGUAGUUAAGUUAGUGAAGGAUGAUGAGCCGUAAUUCACAAGCAAUGCAUUGCAACAUGUAAUUACCUUCGCACUGCGUCAGUCGGCGGCUUUUUCUAUCUCAUGGAUCGGAGACCUUUGUCACUUUCCCCGUCCGUCCGUACUGCUCUUCUUUCCGAGUAUACAAAGCCACGAACCUCUUCUUUUUGGCGUGUCAAUGUGAAAUGCGCUGGUUGCCUCCAGCUGUUCAAAAGAAAAAAAAAAGGAAAAGAGGCUUAAAAGCACCCCCAUCAAUCAGUAUUUUCCCCGAAUCAUCAGCUUGAAGUUUUGUCCAUGAAGCCUUUAUUCACUCACAUUCAACAAGCUCUGUGCAGCAUGCGCAUCAUCGGAUCGAGAAAUUGACGAGAGAUACCGUAAUUCUUGUCUUCGACGAAAACAAUUAUCAGAAAUUAACAUCUGCUUGUCAAGGCUACUGUGUAGGAAAUGGUAAGUGGUAAUAGUAGGGAGCUAUUUGGGAGACGUAGGAUGGAUGCUUUCACAAGAAAAUGAAGAGGAGGAGCUAUCGAAGUCAUCAGUGAAAGCGCAGGUUCUUUCAAAGUUUUUGGGCCCUAAACUAAGGAGAAAAAGAAAGACUUGCCUCAUCCGUGCGGGAAAGAAACAAAAAAGAAUGCACUUCGCUCUAAGUGUUUUGGCG
This 847-nucleotide long non-coding RNA is filed under the name Eucalyptus grandis. RNAcentral's name for it is "long non-coding RNA (EGRA_LNC001228)". The record is from RNAcentral. Lineage: Eukaryota; Viridiplantae; Streptophyta; Magnoliopsida; Myrtales; Myrtaceae.